UGGACCAUUGGUGAUGCCUGGUGGUGCAUGAGUCAUGGAUGAUGAUUAAUAUGUAUCUGGAACUCUGAGGUCCAA
Molecule: small nucleolar RNA, 75 nt
Organism: Manis pentadactyla (Chinese pangolin)
Lineage: Eukaryota; Metazoa; Chordata; Mammalia; Pholidota; Manidae
Product: small nucleolar RNA SNORD113/SNORD114 family
Exons: 1
Source: RefSeq, a predicted model, not a curated record